Molecule: transfer RNA, 88 nt
Filed under: Deltaproteobacteria bacterium
Lineage: Bacteria; Pseudomonadati; Myxococcota; Myxococcia
Description: tRNA-Leu
Rfam family: tRNA
About the family: Transfer RNA (tRNA) molecules are approximately 80 nucleotides in length. Their secondary structure includes four short double-helical elements and three loops (D, anti-codon, and T loops).
Source: RNAcentral
GCCGGAGUGGCGGAACCGGGAGACGCAGGGGACUCAAAAUCCCCCGGGCCUUGCGCCUGUGAGGGUUCGAAUCCCUCCUCCGGCACCA